Molecule: long non-coding RNA, 235 nt
Filed under: Musa acuminata (dwarf banana)
Lineage: Eukaryota; Viridiplantae; Streptophyta; Magnoliopsida; Zingiberales; Musaceae
Description: long non-coding RNA (MACU_LNC008878)
Source: RNAcentral
UGGAAGUUGCAGCAAGUAUGUGCUAUCUUGUAAGAGUAGAAUUGUCGUCGAAGAAACAACGAUUUCUCGACGUAAUUUCCACCAAAAACUUGAGAGAAUUGAGGAGGGAAUUGAUAGCAAAAUCACAGUUUAUAUGACAGCAAGAAUAUCUAAUUUAAUCAAGAAAAUUUUGGCAGUAUAACAGCAAGGAAAUUGGUGCAAGUUGCGAUUGUAGAAUUCUCGUCGAGAAAUUUCA